Molecule: non-coding RNA, 590 nt
Organism: Megalopta genalis
Lineage: Eukaryota; Metazoa; Arthropoda; Insecta; Hymenoptera; Halictidae
Source: RefSeq, a predicted model, not a curated record
UGCAGCAAGAACGCUCGUAGAAUAUUAUAAAUAUCUCAACAAUAAUAAAGAAAUGGUCAUUUCUACAACCGAAGCCCUUCAGCUUAGAUUUUUCUGAAUCGAAAUAUCCAACUCCCGAACUGCUCACUUGAAUAUUGGCACGUCCAUCUUGGUUGAUACGAACAGUUGUCACGAAGAUAUUUUGUCGCACGCUAGGUUUCUUGACCAGGGGAUCGGCAGUGAGGUGUGCUUGCGAUGCUACCAAUGAUAGCGGCAAUGCGGUUGAGGGAACGACCGACAAUGUUCUGGCCAGAGCAAAAGAAAUCGCUCUGGCAUUCAACGCCGGGAAAACUUCGCAGUGGAAGACCAUUCUUGUCAAAUUAGCUCGGAGGACCACAAAGCCCUCGAGGGUCGCUUUGGAAGCUGCCAAUCAUGGAAUAUCAUAUACAAACAAAGAUGCAACAGGUGAAAAUUUGUGAAGUAAGCAACACCUCCGCCGCAGCAGCGGCGACCGCCAGCAGCGGCGUUUGCAUCAACGCCGUGCAGCGGAGGCGGAAACCACCUCCCAUUUGUCCAGAAGGAAAGAAAUCGCUCUGGCAUUCAACGCCGGG